UCCAAGGAAGGCAGCAGGCACGCAAAUUACCCACUCCCGGCACGGGGAGGUAGUGACAAAAAAUAACGAUACGGGACUCUUAUGAGGCCCCGUAAUCGGAAUGAGUACACUUUAAAUCCUUUAACAAGGAUCCAUUGGAGGGCAAGUCUGGUGCCAGCAGCCGCGGUAAUUCCAGCUCCAAUAGCGUAUAUUAAAGUUGUUGCGGUUAAAAAGCUCGUAGUUGGUUCUGCGUGCUACGCUGUCGGUUCGCCGCCUGCCGGUGUAACUGGCAUGCCGUGGCAUGUCCUGUCGGUGGCGUUCGGGUACGCUGUCGGUUCGCCGCCUGCCGGUGUAACUGGCAUGCCGUGGCAUGUCCUGUCGGUGGCGUUCGGGAGCUUCGCCUAGGUGACUCCUCCGGACCGCAAGGUACGGUUGGUUGUUCAACCGGGAGCCUCCCCGUUCGCCUACUCUAUCCUACCUAGGUGCUCUUCACCGAGUGUCGAGGUAGGCCGACACGUUUACUUUGAACAAAUUAGAGUGCUCAAAGCAGGCUGAAAUUUCUGCCUGAAUAGUGGUGCAUGGAAUAAUAAAACAGGACCUCGGUUCUAUUUUGUUGGUUCUUAGGAACACGAGGUAAUGAUCAAUACGGACAGGCGGGGCUUGGCAAAUGCUUUCGCNNNNNNNNNNNNNNNNNNNNNNNNNNNNNNNNNNNNNNNNNNNNUUUGCCAAGUAUGUCUUGAUUGAUCAAGAACGAAAGUUAGAGGUUCGAAGGCGAUCAGAUACCGCCCUAGUUCUAACCAUAAACGAUGCCAGCCAGCGAUCCGCCGAUGUUCCUCCGAUGACUCGGCGGGGAGCUUUUUCCCGGGAAACCAAAGCUUUUGGGUUCCGGGGGAAGUAUGGUUGCAAAGCUGAAACUUAAAGGAAUUGACGGAAGGGCACCACCAGGAGUGGAGCCUGCGGCUUAAUUUGACUCAACACGGGAAACCUCACCAGGCCAGGACAUUGGAAGGAUUGACAGAUUGAUAGCUCUUUCUUGAUUCAGUGGGUAGUGGUGCAUGGCCGUUCUUAGUUGGUGG
RNAcentral lists this ribosomal RNA (1055 nucleotides) under Austromiris sp. WCW-2003a. RNAcentral describes it as "partial 18S ribosomal RNA". It matches the Rfam family "Eukaryotic small subunit ribosomal RNA", at positions 415 to 1304 of the family's 1831-position model. Lineage: Eukaryota; Metazoa; Arthropoda; Insecta; Hemiptera; Miridae. The record is from RNAcentral.